Molecule: ribosomal RNA, 478 nt
Filed under: uncultured bacterium
Lineage: Bacteria
Description: partial 16S ribosomal RNA
Rfam family: Bacterial small subunit ribosomal RNA
Source: RNAcentral
GACGAACGCUGGCGGCGUGCUUAACACAUGCAAAUCGAACGGUAAGGCCCUUCGGGGUACACGAGUGGCGAACGGGUGAGUAACACGUGGGUGAUCUGCCCUGCACUUCGGGAUAAGCCUGGGAAACUGGGUCUAAUACCGGAUAGGACUCCGGACUGCAUGGUCUGGGGUGGAAAGCUUUUGCGGUGUGGGAUGGGCCCGCGGCCUAUUAGCUUGUUGGUGGGGUGAUGGCCUACCAAGGCGACGACGGGUAGCCGGCCUGAGAGGGUGACCGGCCACGCUGGGACUGAGAUACGGCCCAGACUCAUACGGGAGGCAGCAGUGGGGAAUAUUGCACAAUGGGCGCAAGCCUGAUGCAGCGACGCCGCGUGAGGGAUGACGGCCUUCGGGUUGUAAACCUCUUUCAGCAUCGACGAAGCGAAAGUGACGGUAGGUGCAGAAGAAGGACCGGCCAACUACGUGCCAGCCGCCGCAGUAA